Molecule: non-coding RNA, 30 nt
Filed under: Mus musculus (house mouse)
Lineage: Eukaryota; Metazoa; Chordata; Mammalia; Rodentia; Muridae
Source: RNAcentral
ACUUUCUUUUCCAGGAAGUGUAGGAGUCUA